GACCCCGCACAAGCGGUGGAUCAUGUUGUUUAAUUCGAAGAUACGCGAAAAACCUUACCAGGUCUUGACAUCCCUUGCAAUGCUGUAGAGAUACAGUGGAGGUUAUCAAGGAGACAGGUGGUGCAUGGUUGUCGUCAGCUCGUGUCGUGAGAUGUUGGGUUAAGUCCCGCAACGAGCGCAACCCUUAUUGCUAGUUGCCAUCAUUUAGUUGGGGACUCUAGCGAGACUGCCAGUGAUAAACUGGAGGAAGGUGGGGAUGACGUUAAAUCAUCAUGCCCCUUAUGACCUGGGCUACAAACGUGAUACAAUGGCUAUUACAGAGGGCCGCAAAGCUGUGAAGUGAAGCUAAACCCUUAAAAAUAGUCUCAGUUCGGAUUGAAGUCUGCAACUCGACUUCAUGAAGCCGGAAUCGCUAGUAAUCGCAAAU
RNAcentral lists this ribosomal RNA (427 nucleotides) under uncultured bacterium. Its description in RNAcentral is "bacterial SSU rRNA". It matches the Rfam family "Bacterial small subunit ribosomal RNA", at positions 920 to 1349 of the family's 1533-position model. The record is from RNAcentral.